Molecule: ribosomal RNA, 512 nt
Filed under: uncultured bacterium
Lineage: Bacteria
Description: partial 16S ribosomal RNA
Rfam family: Bacterial small subunit ribosomal RNA
Source: RNAcentral
UGGGGAAUUUUGGACAAUGGGCGAAAGCCUGAUCCAGCAAUGCCGCGUGUGUGAAGAAGGCCUUCGGGUUGUAAAGCACUUUUGUCCGGAAAGAAAUCCUUGGCUCUAAUACAGUCGGGGGAUGACGGUACCGGAAGAAUAAGCACCGGCUAACUACGUGCCAGCAGCCGCGGUAAUACGUAGGGUGCAAGCGUUAAUCGGAAUUACUGGGCGUAAAGCGUGCGCAGGCGGUUUGCUAAGACCGAUGUGAAAUCCCCGGGCUCAACCUGGGAACUGCAUUGGUGACUGGCAGGCUAGAGUAUGGCAGAGGGGGGUAGAAUUCCACGUGUAGCAGUGAAAUGCGUAGAGAUGUGGAGGAAUACCGAUGGCGAAGGCAGCCCCCUGGGCCAAUACUGAUGCUCAUGCACGAAAGCGUGGGAGCAAACAGGAUUAGAUACCCUGGUAGUCCACGCCCUAAACGAUGUCAACUAGUUGUUGGGGAUUCAUUUUCCUUAGUAACGUAGCUAACGCGU